RNAcentral lists this small nucleolar RNA (68 nucleotides) under Carlito syrichta (Philippine tarsier). Its description in RNAcentral is "Small nucleolar RNA SNORD27 (ENSTSYG00000024310.2)". It matches the Rfam family "Small nucleolar RNA SNORD27". From Rfam's summary of the family: U27 is a member of the C/D class of snoRNA which contain the C (UGAUGA) and D (CUGA) box motifs. Lineage: Eukaryota; Metazoa; Chordata; Mammalia; Primates; Tarsiidae. The record is from RNAcentral.
CUUCAUAAUGAGCAUAAAAUGACAAGCAUAUGACUGAACUUAAGUGAUGCCAUCUUAACCCUGUGAGG